This 275-nucleotide ribosomal RNA is filed under the name uncultured prokaryote. Its description in RNAcentral is "partial 16S ribosomal RNA". It matches the Rfam family "Bacterial small subunit ribosomal RNA", at positions 524 to 798 of the family's 1533-position model. The record is from RNAcentral.
UACGGAGGAUCCGAGCGUUAUCCGGAUUUAUUGGGUUUAAAGGGUGCGCAGGCGGGAGAUUAAGUCGGCGGUGAAAUUUUGCAGCUCAACUGUAAAAGUGCCUUCGAAACUGGUUUCCUUGAGUGUAGAUGAAGUAGGCGGAAUUUGUGGUGUAGCGGUGAAAUGCAUAGAUAUCACGAGGAACUCCGAUUGCGCAGGCAGCUUACUAAAUUACAACUGACGCUUAGGCACGAAGGCGUGGGUAUCAAACAGGAUUAGAUACCCCCGUAGUCCCU